GACCCUACGGGGCGCAGCAGUGGGGGAUAUUGCACAAUGGGGGCAACCCUGAUGCAGCGACGCCGCGUGAGCGAUGGAGUACUUCGGUAUGUAAAGCUCUGUCAGCAGGGAAGAGAAUGACGGUACCUGACCAAGAAGCCCCGGCUAAAUACGUGCCAGCAGCCGCGGUAAUACGUAUGGGGCAAGCGUUAUCCGGAUUUACUGGGUGUAAAGGGAGCGUAGGCGGCAGGGCAAGCCUGAUGUGAAAGCCCGGGGCUCAACCCUGAGCCUGCAUUUGAAACUGUGUUUCUUGAGUGCUGGAGAGG
This 305-nucleotide ribosomal RNA is filed under the name uncultured bacterium. RNAcentral describes it as "bacterial SSU rRNA". It matches the Rfam family "Bacterial small subunit ribosomal RNA", at positions 335 to 657 of the family's 1533-position model. The record is from RNAcentral.